This 253-nucleotide ribosomal RNA is filed under the name uncultured bacterium. Its description in RNAcentral is "partial 16S ribosomal RNA". It matches the Rfam family "Bacterial small subunit ribosomal RNA", at positions 524 to 776 of the family's 1533-position model. The record is from RNAcentral.
GACAGAGGGUGCAAACGUUGUUCGGAAUUACUGGGCGUAAAGCGUGUGUAGGCGGUCUUGUAAGUCGGAUGUGAAAGCCCCGGGCUCAACCCGGGAAGUGCACUCGAUACUGCAAGACUUGAGUACCGGAGAGGUUGGUGGAAUUCUCGGUGUAGAGGUGAAAUUCGUAGAUAUCGAGAGGAACACCGGUGGCGAAGGCGGCCAACUGGACGAGUACUGACGCUGAGACACGAAAGCGUGGGGAGCAAACAGG